RNAcentral lists this ribosomal RNA (302 nucleotides) under uncultured bacterium. RNAcentral's name for it is "partial 16S ribosomal RNA". It matches the Rfam family "Bacterial small subunit ribosomal RNA", at positions 508 to 807 of the family's 1533-position model. The record is from RNAcentral.
GCAGUAGCCGCGGUAAUACGAAGGGUGCAAGCGUUACUCGGAAUUACUGGGCGUAAAGCGUGCGUAGGUGGUGGUUUAAGUCCGUUGUGAAAGCCCUGGGCUCAAUCUGGGAAUUGCAGUGGAUACUGGGUCACUAGAGUGUGGUAGAGGAUAGUGGAAUUUCCGGUGUAGCAGUGAAAUGCGUAGAGAUCGGAAGGAACAUCUGUGGCGAAGGCGACUAUCUGGGCCAACACUGACACUGAGGCACGAAAGCGUGGGGAGCAAACAGGAUUAGAUACCCGCGUAGUCCCUGUCUCUUAUAC